This is a long non-coding RNA of Oncorhynchus masou masou (cherry salmon), 1126 nucleotides long. RefSeq lists it as uncharacterized. Lineage: Eukaryota; Metazoa; Chordata; Actinopteri; Salmoniformes; Salmonidae. The record is from RefSeq and is a predicted model, not a curated record. The transcript is spliced from 5 exons.
GGAAGGUACUGUAGAUAUGACAUGUGGGGACACACUAAGAAGCCCACCAUUAAGCCAUAAAAUGGCCAUCUGGAGAAAAGUGACCCUCUUGCUGUUUCUUACAGGAACGUUGGUGAAGCCUGGUCUGAGCAAUGUGAUCCUGAAUCAGCCACCAAGGACAAUGGAAGUUCCUCUUGGUUCCUCUCUUACCCUGAACUGCAGUUUUAUGCCCCAAACUCGUGUCACGGUGAACUGGUAUUUCAGCCCAACUGGCCACUCAAGCUGCAGCUCCAAUAUACUGCUGAACAGCAGUACCAAUUCGGCUGACAAAACUGGGAAGCUGGAUGCUGGGGGGCAUGUAUCUAAAGAAUCUAGAGAGAGUUGGUCCAGAUUAAUUCUUAAAGAUGUCACACACAAUAACAGUGGAUGGUACUUUUGCCAUGUCUCAGUAGAGAUUCCCGUCCUUCAACAAGCAUGUAGCAAUGGAACUCAAGUUAAUAUAUCGGACAACCAGAUGAAAAGUACCACUUAUACUCCAUUGAUGACAGACUGGAGGCUGUGGGUAGCAGUGGGAGCAGCGAGUGCCAUACUUGUCACACUGCUAGUGGUCAUCUGGAUCUUAAUACAACGAAGGGGAUGCAAGAGCAGAGAAAAUCCUAUCUAUUCGAAUAUGCCUCCACCAAGAUCUGCAAUAAAACAUCCCUCUCCGCAUCCAGGAAUACAGAUGGACAACCAGAAGUUUCCUUCUCCUUUAAAACACACCAGGACCCCAGCCACAGCCCAUUACAACAAACAUGUCAGGACCCCAACUCCAGCCAGGACCAAUGACAGCAAAUAUAGCCUAAAAUCCUAAGACUUUUCAUGAUUCCAAUUAAUCAUAUUUCCUCUACUGAAACUAUGUCAGCAAGUAAUUCGUUAUCUUGUGUGUUGUGAGUGAAGUCUGACUUGGUCCUAUCCUGUCCUAUUACAUGAGCUAUCACUUUAGUGUGUUUUUUUUCAGGGAUUGCUGUUGAUUACUUCUCCAGCAAUUGGCAUGCCAUGGUAGCCUACUAAAUUCUGAGAAAUUAUUGUUGUGUAAAUAUUAUUCUCAGGGUCAUUUAAUGUUGUCCAAGUUCUAUAAAGCAUAAUCUAGCAAUAAAGAAAAUAA